UACGUAGGUGGCAAGCGUUGUCCGGAUUUACUGGGCGUAAAGGGCGUGCAGGCGGUUUGUUAAGUGCAGGGUGAAAGCUCCCGGCUCAACUGGGAGAGGUCCUUGCAUACUGGCGGACUUGAGGGGGGUAGAGGAAAGUGGAAUUCCCGGUGUAGUGGUGAUAUGCGUAGAUAUCGGGAGGAACACCUGUGGCGAAGGCGGCUUUCUGGGCCCUACCUGACGCUGAGACGCGAAAGCGUGGGGAGCGAACCGG
This 253-nucleotide ribosomal RNA is filed under the name uncultured bacterium. RNAcentral describes it as "partial 16S ribosomal RNA". It matches the Rfam family "Bacterial small subunit ribosomal RNA", at positions 524 to 776 of the family's 1533-position model. The record is from RNAcentral.